This 425-nucleotide ribosomal RNA is filed under the name uncultured bacterium. RNAcentral describes it as "partial 16S ribosomal RNA". It matches the Rfam family "Bacterial small subunit ribosomal RNA", at positions 354 to 796 of the family's 1533-position model. The record is from RNAcentral.
GUUAGGAAUAUUGGACAAUGGGCGCAAGCCUGAUCUAGCCAUGCCGCGUGAGCGAUGAAGGCCUUAGGGUUGUAAAGCUCUUUCGUGGGGGAAGAUAAUGACUGUACCCCAAGAAGAAGCCCCGGCUAACUCCGUGCCAGCAGCCGCGGUAAUACGGAGGGGGCUAGCGUUGUUCGGAAUUACUGGGCGUAACGCGCACGUAGGCGGACUGGAAAGUCAGGGGUGAAAUCCCGGGGCUCAACCCCGGAACUGCCUUUGAAACUCCCAGUCUUGAGUUCGAGAGAGGUGAGUGGAAUUCCGAGUGUAGAGGUGAAAUUCGUAGAUAUUCGGAGGAACACCAGUGGCGAAGGCGGCUCACUGGCUCGAUACUGACGCUGAGGUGCGAAAGCGUGGGGAGCAAACAGGAUUAGAUACCCUUGUAGUCC